RNAcentral lists this transfer RNA (76 nucleotides) under Omnitrophica WOR_2 bacterium RIFCSPHIGHO2_01_FULL_48_9. Its description in RNAcentral is "tRNA-Phe". It matches the Rfam family "tRNA". Rfam says of the family: Transfer RNA (tRNA) molecules are approximately 80 nucleotides in length. Their secondary structure includes four short double-helical elements and three loops (D, anti-codon, and T loops). RNAcentral also lists the same sequence under 2 other names. Lineage: Bacteria; Pseudomonadati; Candidatus Omnitrophota. The record is from RNAcentral.
GCCGAGAUAGCUCAGGUAGUAGAGCGCGGGCCUGAAAAGCCCGGCGUCGCCAGUGCAAGUCUGGCUCUCGGCACCA